Molecule: small nucleolar RNA, 139 nt
Organism: Prunus persica (peach)
Lineage: Eukaryota; Viridiplantae; Streptophyta; Magnoliopsida; Rosales; Rosaceae
Rfam family: Small nucleolar RNA snoR136
Source: Rfam
AAGGCUUUAUAAAUCGUAUUCAACAUGCACUUAAUUUGAUUUUGUGUGUGUUUUUCUCAAGAGAAGCCGAGAAAGAUGUUCUCCUCGCUAUCUAAUGCUGCAUUUCUGUGUGGUAUUUGGACGUCGGAGAACUAAAUUU